This 1347-nucleotide ribosomal RNA is filed under the name uncultured bacterium. RNAcentral describes it as "bacterial SSU rRNA". It matches the Rfam family "Bacterial small subunit ribosomal RNA", at positions 28 to 1381 of the family's 1533-position model. The record is from RNAcentral.
GACGAACGCUGGCGGCGUGCUUAACACAUGCAAGUCGAACGGAAAGGCCCUGCUUUUGUGGGGUGCUCGAGUGGCGAACGGGUGAGUAACACGUGAGUAACCUGCCCUUGACUUUGGGAUAACUUCAGGAAACUGGGGCUAAUACCGGAUAGGAGCUCCUGCUGCAUGGUGGGGGUUGGAAAGUUUCGGCGGUUGGGGAUGGACUCGCGGCUUAUCAGCUUGUUGGUGGGGUAGUGGCUUACCAAGGCUUUGACGGGUAGCCGGCCUGAGAGGGUGACCGGCCACAUUGGGACUGAGAUACGGCCCAGACUCCUACGGGAGGCAGCAGUGGGGAAUAUUGCACAAUGGGCGGAAGCCUGAUGCAGCAACGCCGCGUGCGGGAUGACGGCCUUCGGGUUGUAAACCGCUUUCGCCUGUGACGAAGCGUGAGUGACGGUAAUGGGUAAAGAAGCACCGGCUAACUACGUGCCAGCAGCCGCGGUGAUACGUAGGGUGCGAGCGUUGUCCGGAUUUAUUGGGCGUAAAGGGCUCGUAGGUGGUUGAUCGCGUCGGAAGUGUAAUCUUGGGGCUUAACCCUGAGCGUGCUUUCGAUACGGGUUGACUUGAGGAAAGGUAGGGGAGAAUGGAAUUCCUGGUGGAGCGGUGGAAUGCGCAGAUAUCAGGAGGAACACCAGUGGCGAAGGCGGUUCUCUGGGCCUUUCCUGACGCUGAGGAGCGAAAGCGUGGGGAGCGAACAGGCUUAGAUACCCUGGUAGUCCACGCUGUAAACGGUGGGUACUAGGUGUGGGGUCCAUUCCACGGGUUCCGUGCCGUAGCUAACGCUUUAAGUACCCCGCCUGGGGAGUACGGCCGCAAGGCUAAAACUCAAAGGAAUUGACGGGGCCCCGCACAAGCGGCGGAGCAUGCGGAUUAAUUCGAUGCAACGCGUAGAACCUUACCUGGGUUUGACAUGGAUCGGGAGUGCCCAGAGAUGGGUGUGCCUCUUUUGGGGUCGGUUCACAGGUGGUGCAUGGCUGUCGUCAGCUCGUGUCGUGAGAUGUUGGGUUAAGUCCCGCAACGAGCGCAACCCUUGUUCACUGUUGCCAGCACGUUAUGGUGGGGACUCAGUGGAGACCGCCGGGGUCAACUCGGAGGAAGGUGGGGAUGACGUCAAGUCACCAUGCCCCUUAUGUCCAGGGCUUCACGCAUGCUACAAUGGCUGGUACAGAGAGUGGCGAGCCUGUGAGGGUGAGCGAAUCUCGGAAAGCCGGUCUCAGUUCGGAUUGGGGUCUGCAACUCGACCUCAUGAAGUCGGAGUCGCUAGUAAUCGCAGAUCAGCAACGCUGCGGUGAAUACGUUCCCGGGGCU